Molecule: ribosomal RNA, 253 nt
Filed under: uncultured bacterium
Lineage: Bacteria
Description: partial 16S ribosomal RNA
Rfam family: Bacterial small subunit ribosomal RNA
Source: RNAcentral
UACGUAGGGGGCAAGCGUUAUCCGGAUUUACUGGGUGUAAAGGGCGUGUAGGCGGGGACGCAAGUCAGAUGUGAAAACCACGGGCUCAACCUGUGGCCUGCAUUUGAAACUGUGUUUCUUGAGUACUGGAGAGGCAGACGGAAUUCCUAGUGUAGCGGUGAAAUGCGUAGAUAUUAGGAGGAACACCAGUGGCGAAGGCGGUCUGCUGGACAGCAACUGACGCUGAGGCGCGAAAGCGUGGGGAGCAAACAGG